UUUAUAAAUAUAUUACUUAUUUUUAAAGAUUAAUGUUUUUUUAUAUAAAAAAUUUUUAUAAAUAUAUGUUUUUGUAUUUUUUAGAUUAAAUAAUUUUAGUUAUAGUAAAUUAGUACAUUGAUGGAAUUAUGAAAUAAUUUUUAUUAUUAAAAAAGUAGAUUUAUUUUAUUGUACCUUUUGUAUCAGGGUUGGUUAAAAAUAUAAUAUUAAUAAAUAUUUUUCUCGAAUUUAAAAGAGCUAAAUUAUUAUGAAAAUUUUUGUGGCAAAAGGAUUUUAAAUAAUAAUUUGGUAAUGAAAUGUUAGUCGCUUUUAAGAAUAUCUAGUUUUUCAAGAAUUAAAUUUAAUUUAUUUAUUUUUAUAUUAUUAUUUUAUUUGGUUAAUUUAAUAAAUUUAAAUAGAAAAAAUAAUAGGGACAAGCUUAUUAUUUGACUUAUAAAAUAAAAUCUAUUCAUUAAAUUAAUAGGAUUAGAAAUUUCCAUUUAUAAUUAAAGUGUUAUAAUUAAUUUAUGUUUAUAUAAGAUUUUUUUUAUUUUAAGAUUUUAUUGAAAUAUUUUUUAUAAUAAUUUUAUUUAGUAAUAAUGAUUAAAUUAGUAUUAUUUUGUUUAUAAAUAAAAUAUAAAUGAAGAUAAGAGUAAGGAAUUCAGCAAAUAUUGUAUUCGCCUGUUUAUCAAAAACAUGUCUUUUUGAUUAUAAUUUUAAGUCUAGCCUGCCCACUGAAAAUUUGAAGGGCCGCAGUAUUCUGACUGUGCAAAGGUAGCAUAAUCAUUUGCCUCUUAAUUAGAGGCUAGUAUGAAUGGUUGAACGAAAUACAAACUGUCUCACUCUUAAAAUUAUAAAAAUUUAGCUUUCUAGUUAAAAGGCUUGAAUAUUAUUAGAGGACGAGAAGACCCUAUAGAACUUUAUAAUUUUUUAAUUAAAUUUAUAUAGAAAAAUAUUAUUUUUUAUUUAAAUUAUUAUUUUGUUGGGGUGACAGGAAAAUAAAUAUAACUUUUUUAAUAUAAGAACAUUGAUUUAUGAAUAUUUGAUCCAUUAUUAGUGAUUAUUAGAAUAAGUUACCUUAGGGAUAACAGCGUAAUUUUGUUGGAGAGUUCAUAUCUAUAACAAAGUUUGCGACCUCGAUGUUGAAUUAAAGAAAUUUUAGAGUGCAGAAGCUUUAAGUAAUAGGUCUGUUCGACCUUUAAAUCUUUACAUGAUUUGAGUUCAGACCGGCGUGAGCCAGGUCGGUUUCUAUCCUUAAUUAAAAUCCAUUAUUUAGUACGAAAGGACCGGUUAUGGGAAAAAUUUUUUAUUUUUUGAAUAAAAUU
RNAcentral lists this ribosomal RNA (1304 nucleotides) under Euroleon coreanus. RNAcentral describes it as "16S ribosomal RNA". The stretch from base 528 to 1304 matches the Rfam family "Archaeal large subunit ribosomal RNA", at positions 1423 to 2803 of the family's 2987-position model. Lineage: Eukaryota; Metazoa; Arthropoda; Insecta; Neuroptera; Myrmeleontidae. The record is from RNAcentral.